Molecule: ribosomal RNA, 468 nt
Filed under: uncultured bacterium
Lineage: Bacteria
Description: partial 16S ribosomal RNA
Rfam family: Bacterial small subunit ribosomal RNA
Source: RNAcentral
GACGAACGCUGGCGGCGUGCUUAACACAUGCAAGUCGAACGGAAAGGCCCUGCUUUUGUGGGGUGCUCGAGUGGCGAACGGGUGAGUAACACGUGAGUAACCUGCCCUUGACUUUGGGAUAACUUCAGGAAACUGGGGCUAAUACCGGAUAGGAGCUCCUGCUGCAUGGUGGGGGUUGGAAAUUUUCGGCGGGUGGGGAUGGACUCGCGGCUUAUCAGCUUGUUGGUUGGGUAGUGGCUUACCAAGGCUUUGACGGGUAGCCGGCCUGAGAGGGUGAACGGCCACAUUGGGACUGAGAUACGGCCCAGACUCCUACGGGAGGCAGCAGUGGGGAAUAUUGCACAAUGGGCGGAAGCCUGAUGCAGCAACGCCGCGUGCGGGAUGACGGCCUUCGGGUUGUAAAACGCUUUCGCCUGUGACGAAGCGUGAGUGACGGUAAUGGGUAAAGAAGCACCGGCUAACUACGUG